Molecule: ribosomal RNA, 246 nt
Filed under: uncultured bacterium
Lineage: Bacteria
Description: partial 16S ribosomal RNA
Rfam family: Bacterial small subunit ribosomal RNA
Source: RNAcentral
AGUAACGCGUGGGUAACCUGCCCUGUACAGGGGGAUAACAGUCAGAAAUGACUGCUAAUACCGCAUAAGACCACAGCACCGCAUGGUGCAGGGGUAAAAACUCCGGUGGUACAGGAUGGACCCGCGUCUGAUUAGCUGGUUGGUGAGGUAACAGCUCACCAAGGCGACGAUCAGUAGCCGGCUUGAGAGAGUGAACGGCCACAUUGGGACUGAGACACGGCCCAAACUCCUACGGGAGGCAGCAUG